GACGAACGCUGGCGGCGUGCUUAACACAUGCCAGUCGAACGGAAAGGCCCUGCUUUUGUGGGGUGCUCGAGUGGCGAACGGGUGAGUAACACGUGAGUAACCUGCCCUUGACUUUGGGAUAACUUCAGGAAACUGGGGCUAAUACCGGAUAGGAGCUCCGGCUGCAUGGUGGGGGUUGGAAAGGUUCGGCGGUUGGGGAUGGACGCGCGGCUUAUCAGCUUGUUGGUGGGGUAGUGGCUUACCAAGGCUUUGACGGGUAGCCGGCCUGAGAGGGUGACCGGCCACAUUGGGACUGAGAUACGGCCCAGACUCCUACGGGAGGCAGCAGUGGGGAAUAUUGCACAAUGGGCGGAAGCCUGAUGCAGCAACGCCGCGUGCGGGAUGACGGCCUUCGGGUUGUAAACCGCUUUCGCCUGUGACGAAGCGUGAGUGACGGUAAUGGGUAAAGAAGCACCGGCUAACUACGUG
RNAcentral lists this ribosomal RNA (468 nucleotides) under uncultured bacterium. RNAcentral's name for it is "partial 16S ribosomal RNA". It matches the Rfam family "Bacterial small subunit ribosomal RNA", at positions 28 to 507 of the family's 1533-position model. The record is from RNAcentral.